Molecule: ribosomal RNA, 253 nt
Filed under: uncultured bacterium
Lineage: Bacteria
Description: partial 16S ribosomal RNA
Rfam family: Bacterial small subunit ribosomal RNA
Source: RNAcentral
UACGUAGGUGGCGAGCGUUGUCCGGAUUUACUGGGCGUAAAGAGCGCGCAGGCGGUCGUGCAAGUCGCGUGUGAAAGCCCCCGGCUCAACUGGGGAGGGUCACGCGAUACUGCUCGACUCGAAGGCAGGAGAGGGAAGUGGAAUUCCCGGUGUAGUGGUGAAAUGCGUAGAUAUCGGGAGGAACACCAGUGGCGAAGGCGACUACCUGGCCUGUUCUUGACGCUGAGGCGCGAAAGCUAGGGGAGCAAACGGG